Molecule: ribosomal RNA, 407 nt
Filed under: uncultured bacterium
Lineage: Bacteria
Description: partial 16S ribosomal RNA
Rfam family: Bacterial small subunit ribosomal RNA
Source: RNAcentral
GACGAACGCUGGCGGCGUGCCUAAUACAUGCAAGUAGGACGCAGUUGCGAACGGGUGAGUAACGCGUGGGUAACUACCUAUUAGAGGGGGAUAACUAUUGGAAACGAUAGCUAAUACCGCAUACUAGUAGAUGGACCUGCGUUGUAUUAGCUAGUAGGUAGGGUAAUGGCCUACCUAGGCAACGAUUACUAGCCGACCUGAUCGGGGGAUCGGGCCCACUGGGAAGGGGAACCGGCCCAGACUCCUUCGUGAUGCCGCAGUAGGGAAGUUUCGGCAAUGGGGGGCACCCUGACCGAGCAACGCCGCGUGAUUGAAGAAGGUUUUCGGAUCUUAAAGCUCUUUUGUUCAGGAAGCGGUACUUAACCAGAAAGGGACGGCUAACUACGUGCCAGCAGCCGCGGUAAUUC